This 20568-nucleotide long non-coding RNA is filed under the name Ananas comosus (pineapple). Its description in RNAcentral is "long non-coding RNA (ACOM_LNC011453)". Lineage: Eukaryota; Viridiplantae; Streptophyta; Magnoliopsida; Poales; Bromeliaceae. The record is from RNAcentral.
GUAUUUUGGGCGACCGGCUAAUAUAUGAGACCGGCUAUUGUACUCUUAUAAAUAUGAUUUCUCAUACUCAUAAGUCAUUUUUGAUUACAGCGCAUAUGAAUCGACGAUUCAUACCAUUAAAUAUUAUCUAGAGCAUUUGAAACUUUUAAGAACAAAAUUCAAUAAUUUUUCAACAUUGUUUACUUUAUAAUCAUCGAAGUUGAUAAAUUUUAACGACUGAUAUGUAAUAGUUGCUAGUUUAACCGUGUAAAAGAAUCGAAAUUGGGUGAAAUUUUGAUAAAAAAUUCUAUUCACUAUUUAGAUAAAAAUCAAUUACUCCGAAGUUAAAUUAAAGAAUUUGAUUCUAUAAUUUUAGAAGGUCGUUUGAUUUUGACCGUUUAUUUUAUGUCCGCUUGAUGGACUUUAUAAUAAUUUCAAAAAAUUAUGAAAUUUGAUUUCUAGAAGUUUUAAAUACUCUAGAUCAUGUUUAACAGUAUGGAUUAUUGAUUUGAAAGCUUUAUCAUCAAAAACUCUUAUGAGUAUAAAUGACUCUAUACUUAUAAGAGUAUAGUAGCCCUACUCUCUUCUUUAUAAAGAGAGAUGGGCUAGAAUGCUUCUAAUAGCACAAGUCAUUGGUGCUCAUAGUUUUUUGGCCUUUGGAAGAAGAUUUGCAAGGUUAGUAUGAUAGUGAUCCUUUAACAGUUUAGUGGGUGAUGGGUAGAAUAGUAUGAUCUAAGAGGUGGAAUUAAUUGGCCAAAGGGGUAGAUGUAAUUUUGAAAAACUUGAUAGCAUCAAAUACUUGAUACUAUUAGAAGUACCAUAGUCGGACCCUAUAUGUAGAGUUUGGCUCCCCUUUGUACUCAUAAAUUUUCGACCAUUAGAUAUAUCCUUUUGAUCAUUUUCACUUAUUAAAUCAUACCAUUCAACCAACCACCCAUUCAAUCGGAGAGAACCACUACCAUCCUAACCGCACGUCCCCUAACCGCACAUCCCUUCCUCCAACGGCCGAAAACGUAUGAGCACAAAUGGAUCUACACUCAUAAGAGUAUAGUAGCUCUACUCUCUCUCUUUUUCUCUCUCUAUAUAUAUUUUAAAUAAAAUAAGUGAAUACUUGUUUUAUUUUAUCUAUCUCUAGAAUUCUAAUCUUAAUUUUUCUCGGUGUUGUUUUAUAACUUUAUAUUAUUUACCGUAUAUUGCAAUAUUUUAAUGUAUAUGUUGUGAAAUUUUAAAUAGUAUAUUAUCUUAUGAUUUUUUAAAAAGUGUUAUAUAUGUAUUUUGUGUUUGAAAAGUUAAGGGGGAAAAAAAGGCAUACUUUGCUGAUAACUUGAAUACCUACCACGUACUCCGCCUAUGGACGGGUAUAAGUAAGAAUGUUAGGUAGCCUAAAAUUUACAAAUAAAUUUUAUCUAUACGAGCAAUGCUUCAAUACACCAUAAGUAUUAAAAUCAAAUUCUUAAUUAGUAAAGGGUAUAAUUAUAUUUUACAUAAAGUAACCUAUUAAACAUGUUACCGAUUUUAAUUAGUUAAUAUGACAAUAUUGAAAAAAAAUUAGUAAUAUAUACCAAAUUUGUUAGCAUCAUAUAAUAUUUAGUAUCUUAUUUAGUUUUGUUACUUACCAAAUUAGAUAAUACCCAAUUUGUUAUCCAACUCAAAAGAAUAUUGAAUUUAAAUUUAAGUUUUGAAGUUGGUACUUAAAUGUAAAAUUUUAAUUUCAAAAUUUAUAUUAAACUUUUAAAUUUUGAAUCUAUAUUGCAUUUUUAAUCUGAAAGCCAAAUUUUAAUUUUUGAUUUAAAUUAAAAUUUUGAAUUUGAACUGAAAGUUUUAUUUAAAAUUUAUUUUUUAUAUUUAAAAGUUGAAUUUGAUUUAUAAUUAAGUUUUUUAUGUUGAUUUGUAUUUAAAUUUACAGUUUAGUUGUAAUUUAAAGUCCAACUAUUGUUGUAGGUAUUUGAGAAGGUUAUAGUAUUUUUAGUUGGAUAAAACUAGUUUUGUACACCAAAAUAUUUUUCUAAGACCAAAAUAUUCUUUAAAUAGGUACCUGGUGAAUGGUAUCUAUGCCAGAAUAGUAGGCCGCCUUUAUAAUCAUAUUACAUCUCAACCAUCUAUUUAAAAAAAUAAAUGGUCAAGAUUUAUAUAGUGUAUUGAAGUAUUAUUCAUACCGAAAUGAUCCGUUGAAUAAUGACCGGUCCGCAGAUCACCCAACAUGCCCGUUUGCUGGAUCUAGCGACAAUAAUCAUAAGACUAUUAUAUUUAGGUCGAAAGAAAUGUAAAGAUAUAGACUUAUGUUCUAAUUUCUUCACAUAUAAGAUAUAUAUUUCUCUCCGUCUCUCAUUCUCUCCGUACGUGGAUGUUGGGAAGUUGCCGAACCCCAUAAACACAUGUCUCUUCUUUGUGUUUUCUUUUUAUUUAUUUAUCAUUAGUUUUUUGUUUGUGUGUUUUAUUAAUAACACAUGCAGGACUAUUCUAGCCCGAACAAAUACUAAUUGACUUAAAUCCUACCGAAAACUCGGAGCAAUUAGAGAGUAAUAUUUUAAUAAUUUGUAUUCAAAACCUUUUUUUGCUAAUAAUUUCAUUCAAAUGCUCAAGGAGACCGAAGACUACGGGGAAAUAUAAUUUCUUAAAGUUGAGUGGUGCAAGCUAAGAAAAAAUGUGUCUCCUCAAAAGCGUAGUGUAAUGUUUGAUCUAUUCUCCUCACCAAAAGGACAAAGCGCUUUGUCGUACCAUAAAAUUCUAAAAAAAGUAUGAAUGAACAUUAACAUGUGACGCAUCAUGCAUGGGCUUAGAAAACAUUAAUUUCUUGCAUUGACUUAAAAAAUAAUUAGCACGGUAAAUUUCAAGCCACCUAAUUGCGUUACGAAAUCUAAUUAGGUCAAAGAUCACGACAUUUAAGAGGAGGUUGUACGCCAUUUUCUAAUAUCUAAUUAUGUCAUAUGUAGACUCCAUUAUCUUACUAAAUUGAACAAUUAAUUGGAAUAGUUGAGAAUGCCUAAUUAAUUAAAGGCAUUUUAUGGGCUUAAUUUGCGCAGCAGCUUCUAGGCGGGUGGGACUUUUUUUCUUUUUUUUUUUUACAACAGGUUCUCAGUUUAAGUCACGGUAGGCAGCUAACAUUAUUAAUUUCUUCACAUUUAAUUCAAGUCCACUUACAAAAAAAAGUUGAAAAUGAGUGUUAAAUAUAAAAAUAUAUAAACAUUGUUUUCUAAUAAAUAUUUUUUUUAGGAGAAAGAUAGUAUGCUAUCCGCUUCGUUUAUUUCAUUUAGAAAUAAACUUAGCUGGAAAUGUGAAUCAACUAGGAUUUGAACUUGGGUCUCCCUUUUAUAACUUACACUAGGAACAAUCGAUCGUUUUCUUAUAAUUUAAACUUUUAAAGUACAACUGUUAUUUUACACUAGUGUGCUUGGCGAAAAUCUUAACAUGAAUAUUUAUAUAUAUUCAUCAUGAAUUUUUUUACAAAUGUUAGUAAGUUAUUAGAUUAACUUUUUUUAUUAGAAACUAUUUUUAUUUGAUUAAUUUUUCUUAUAUAUAAUACAGUAGUAGAAUUAUUUCGGAGCUCAAUCAAAAGAUAUUGCUUCUAAUAUUUAAUGAAUUAAAAUGCCAAUCUGACUUUUUUUGUUUACACUAAACUUCUAAUAUGGACCAAUUAUUUUUCUUUUUUUUUUCAUAAUAAAUGAAACGGGAGGGUUCGACCCAAUAAACAAGAUGAUAAACAGUGCACAUGUGCACAUGCAAUAUUACUCGCACAAUUAUUUGCCUUCAAUUUUUGUAAUAUCAGAAGCCAUUUAAUAAAGAAUAAUUAUGUAUUAAUUACAAUCUCAAUAAUUCAAACACAACCAAACAUAUAAUAAUAAACAAGAUUAGCCAGGUGUAUAUAGAACUACAAGUCAAUCUCAUAUCUCAAGCACGAACAUAUAAAGAUAAUUUUUUUUUAAGGAAAAAAAGAGAGAAAAAAAAACUCGAUCUACGAAAUGGAUGAGGAUAGCAGUUCCUUUAUGCGAGCAUCGUACGGAGCGGCGGCGGCGGCGGUCAAUCGCGCCUUCCUCUUCUGAAGGAACCGCUGCAGCGACCGCUUCAUCGUGAGCCCCGAGUUCAGGAGCUGCGGCGGAGGAUUCACAUUGCUACCAUGCGGAGAGAUCGAAUGCGGAGUUCGCGACGGGGCCUUCGUGUUGCAUGAGUUCUCUACCACUUGCCUAUGCUUGUAACGGUUGUUGGUGUCAAUGCUCGUGUGUUUUCCAUUUUUGUUUGCUGUGUUUCCCAUCGCUUGGUUGGCCAUAGUUAUGAUGGCUCUUGCCUGUUGUAUACAAGAUGUAAUGCAAAACUAUUAAUAUGAGGAGAAUACAAAAAAAAAAAAAAAGGAAAAUGGUAAAUGAAAUUACUUAUUACUAGACUCUGAACAUGUAAAAAUAAUGUAAAACAACAUUAAUUCCCUCAUGUAAUGCGUACAAUCAAAUAAUAAAAGAUGGAAUACGUGCAUGGAAUAAUAAAAUUCAGUAUUCGAACUCAAAAAUUCGUGCUAUGAUAUUAUAUAUACGAAAGAGUGGUGUUUAAAUAUUUCAUAUUCAACACUAAAGAUUAUAAAAAUAAAGGCAUGUGGCUCUCAUAGAUGGGAUCAUCUACUGCUUGAUCUAUAUUAAAAGGCUCAGUUCCAAUCCAAAAGUUUAGGCUAGUAAAUUUGAAAAAAUUCCUCAUAUUAUACAGAAAUAACCAGGAUAUAUAUAUACUAGCUAGUAAUUUAUAUUUGGUUUGAGAUUUAUAUUCUUAAAUUGCUGGUAAUUAAAAUCAGAUAUGAUUCACGACAUUUCAAACGCAGAUGGUCAAAUAAAAUAUGUGCAGCAGUUUACUGGUCACAGAUCUGUGUUCAACCUUUGUUAGUGGAAGUCAAAAAUCAAUUAGUUUUUUCUAAAGAGAGAAAUUGUGCGAAAGCUUAUUGGGAGUAGGUAUGUAAUUAAUUAAGGACUUUGACCGGGCAACUGCUGUUUAUAUUUUCCAACUUUAUGUUAAUUCUUUGACUUUGUGUGCUUGUAUGAUUCCAUGUUGUCGGCAUAUUCAAGGCACAAAUCAAAUGCAACCUCCCCAUUUAUGUACAUAUUUGGUGCCUAGCUGUAAAGUGUGACUAAAUUAUUAAUAAAAGUAGGGUUUUGUCAGCGUAAAUUAAACCCCACUAAGUUUGAAUCAAACAUAAAAAAAUAUUAACAUUUUUUUUUAUUUAUUUUGCUCGAUCCUAUACGUAGGUAUAUAUCAUGCUAAACAAUCGAUCGUUUAUUUGCAAAAAUUUUAGCUGUUAGAUUAGAACGGGGUUAUAAUAGUUCGUUUCUAUUUAACAAAUAAAUGAUCUGAGAUUGGAUUCAUCGUUCCAAGGUUAAUAUAGGAUAAAGUGGAAAUUGAGGAAGGUGAAGAACAAGCCCAUAUAAAAUUUGAUGCAAGAACUAAACUAUUAGGAGAGUAUACAAAGUACAGGUGCACGAAGCUAAGCGCUCGAUUCUUAAUAAAGCAGGAAAAAGAAAAGAAAAUUAAAGGUUGUGAAUCGAUGGAGAUAGAUAAUAUAUACAUAUUGCAAGUUCUUAAAAACAGUAGAAAAAUCUGGAUAUGGAACCAAACAAACCUGAAUCUCUGUGAUGUCGCAGACGCAAAUCUGCCCCUUGUAGAAGAUUGUAAUCUGCUUAUUCUGCUGCUGCUGCUGCUUCUCUUGGCACUUCUCUUUUAUUUCAAAACAUCUCGCAUCCCUACAAGAACAUCAAUUAUAGUAUCAUCAUCAAAUAAUCUAUAUAUCUAUAUAAAAAAAUUAGAAAGAUGUAAACAACAUGCAUGACCUUAAAGAGAUCAGAAUCUAUGAGAAUAUAAUCAAUCACAUACACAUACCUGCAAACUUUGGCAGAGUCGACGUCGCCGGAUGGUCGAUCGUCGCCGAUACCAAGUCGGAGGCAGAGCUCCGGUUCGCCGAUGACCAUCUUUUUUUUAAAAUUUUUGUUAUUCUUUAAUUCUCUCCUUCUAUUAUAUAUACUAUGAAUCAAUCUCUCGCUUCUUUCUUAUAUAUAUAUAUAUGUAUGAUGUUGUUCGAGAAAGCUUAGUGUUUAAUAUUUGGUAUGCAGGAGAUAUAUAUUCAUGCUUUUAUUAGUAUAUAUAUAUAUACGCGCUUUGUUCCCAACCCCAAAGAGAGAAAACGCACGUGGAGCAUGAAUUCCACGUGCAUGUAUACCUAUGACUUUAGACUAGUUGGCCAAUAAGGAUGCAUUUAUGGUGGGAGAUGAGACACGUUUCUAUUCUUUUUGGUACUUUUUAUUAUUAUUUUAUUAUUAUUAUUAUUAUUAUUUUUACUUUUAUUUUUGCAAAUUUGUGUUGUGUUGGAAAUUUGGGUCAAAUUUUCGUACUCACGUUUUCGUUUCUGGGGGGUCGGAUAUCGUGCGUACAACUAAACGGGUCGAGAUUUUAAUUUAGGCGCAACGAAAUUCUAAUAAGAUUUUUAGAAAACGAAAUGUUACUUACUUGUUGAACUUUUAAUUAGGUGUAAAUAUAGUCGUACCAUCUUUUGAUUUCUUUGUCUUAAAAAUAAAUAUAUAUAGUAACGCUCAUGUGAAAAAAUUAGUUUUUAGUGGAAAAUAAUGUAAAGAAAUAAAUGUGAGACUUAUAUUUUUUUGUCACGUCGGCUCAAUGAUUCACUUAAUUAAUUCCUUUAUGCAUUCAAUUGAAAAAUUACUAAGAAACUACUGAAAUAAAAUAUUAAACUAUUAGUUUCUAAUAAUUUAUGCUUGUAAAAUUAAAUAGUUAUUUCACAUGGUAAUCAGAACAGAAAAUUAGAAAUUAAGCUAAAUAAUAAUUUUGAAAUUAAGUCAACAAAAUCAUUAAUCUUCUUCUAUUUUUUUGGGAUAAACUUCAAUUACCAUCCCUAUGAUUUUGCACUUUCUCAUUUUAGUAACCCUUUGGUUUAAAGUGUAUCAAGUUAGUAUCAUGUGGUUUUAUUUUUAUUUUUUCGUCAGCUUUUCCAUUAAUAUUUCGUUAAAUUAUAUACAAAAAAAACUUUAGAUACCUUACCUAGCUAGAUUUAUCCAAUAUUCACUUUAAUACUUUUUAGUUUUAACUUUGUUACUGAUUGAAUAAAAAAAAUUAAUAAAAUCGAUAAUAAAAAAGAAAAAAAUAAAACCACAUGACAUGCACUAAAUUGAUACACUUUAAAUCACAUGAUGCUAAAGUAAGAAAGUGUGAAACCACGGGAUGAUAUUUUAAGUUUUUUUUUUUUUUCUUAUUCCACGGAGGCUACAUAAUGGGAGAAAUUAAAGGCACGUGCCCAUUGACUCCUAAUAUUAAUUCUUCGACAAGGAAAGGAGUAAGAAAUUUGGCUUUUCUUAUGCAUAAAAAAAGCACGUUUUUUUUUUUUAAAAAAAAUCCUCAUAAAUUCAAGCAGGUCGAAUCUAACUUUGAUUUCCAGUGAAUUAAUUGUACGUUCGUACUAGUAAUCUAGCCACAAAUAUGGGACGGUUUAAAAGUCAAAUAAUUCAAUUUUGGAGCUCGUGCUUCGCCCCUUUUUGAUUUUUGUUGCCUCAACAAACGAGGAACUUUUAGACCACCGUGACAGUUACUGCAAAAUAAAUAAAAAACAUAAUUAAAGUGGUUCAAAUUGGAGUUUUACUUCAAAGUUGGUGGACCUAAAUCACGUGCUUGGUAGGUUUGGGUUCCAGCGAGAAUAAUUCAAAGAUCAAAUGGGAUUUGUGACACGUUGAGCCCCUAAUACGUAUGGUCGCUAAAGUGUGAAGUAAUAAUUGUCAUUAAUUUACGAAUCAAUAUGUUAUGCACUGUAAAAAAAUUUAGGAAAACUUUAAAUAUUAUCUCUAUAGUUUCGCAAUUUUUCCUUCGGUAUUCUAUGGUUUAAAGUAUAUUAUUUCGGUACCCCCGUGAUUUUACUUUUCUUUUUCCAUCAGCACCUCCAACUUUCCAGUAAAUUAUAUACGAAAAACUUCGGAUACAAUAUCUAUAUGAUUUAUCGAAUAUUCACUCUAGUACCUUGUGGUUUAUCAAAUUUUCAUUUUAACAUUUGUGAUUUUAAUUUUGUCACUGAUUUAAUGAAAAAAUUAACGGAUAAGAUAACGGAAAAAGAAAAUGAAACCACAUGAUACUUAAGUGAUACAUUUUAAACCACGGGGUAUAAAAGUAAGAAAGCACGAAACCAUAGGAGUGGCAUUUGAAAUUUUUUUCAAUAGUUUUUGAAAACUAGUACAAAUGCCUGCGUGCAGUGAGCUCUCCAUACAGUAUAAAUUAAAUUCUUUAAAAUAAUUUUAUAUAACAAAUUUUAUUUGAUUUUAAUCAUGUAAUUUAUAUUUAAUACUAUAUAUAAAAGCACGUGUUUCUGAUUUGGGUCUCGCAACCGACCCACUUUUUGGCCAAAAUUUUUCAACAUAUGGAAAAAAAAAAAAUAGAUAUUGCAGAAGAAAAUAUAUACGAUAGAGUUCCGACCACGCAUAUAGGACAUUUUUCAACCACUAAAGUUGGAACCACAUUCAAUUUGGACGUAAUUCUAACAAUUGCAAUCGAAUCUGCUCAUACAGUUCUAACUGUAAUAGUUGAAUUUAGAUACAUUAAACUAAUAAACUGAAUUUAAAUCUGCAUAGAAUUAUAAUUGCAAUACAGUUGCAACUACAUGCAACCGAAUUACCUUUAUUAGUUACAUUUAUAAUUUUGCAAAUGGGCUGCGUGGGCGCGAAAUCUGCAUGAACUAAUUUGUUGAUGCGGUUUAUAUAUUGGGCUCGGACUUCAUAAAUAGAUGUAGAUCUUUCGUGUUAGAAACUAAUUUGUUGAUAGUGCUGUUAUUGGGCUUACUUACCAAUUAAUUGGGCCGGAACUAAUCUGGGCCUCUUAUAUCUUUCUUUCUUUUCUUUUUUUUUUGGUAUGCACUUAAAAUUUGACUUUAAUUUUAAUAUUGAAAAGAAAACAUGAGCUAAGUAAAUUUGGAGUAUUGUUCACAGAUUUUAAGUAAUGAUUUGGUCACGAAAAAUAGAUUGCAUAUAUUUGAUUAUUUAUUUCUGCGGAUUUCUAAUAUUGACUUCUCCUUAAUAGUUGGUUGUUCAACAAACAAAAAAAAGAAUAUAUAUAUAUUAUAUUAUAAUAUAUAUAUAUUAGUAUAUAUAUAUAUAUAGAUUCUAAAAAGUCCCCUUUUUUGCAUUUUCACUUAACACUUGAGUCCUUAAAACUAAUACAUAUAUCACACUUUCAUUUUCAAUAAUUUUAAAAUUAUUAAAUAUUAUUGCAAAUUUAGAUUAAAGUAAAAUUCUUUUAUUUAAUCGUAAAGGUCAGCUCUAUCUUCAUAUAUAUAUAUAUAUAUAUAUAUAUAUAUAUAUAUAUAUAUAUAUAUGGUGUAGAGAUACUACACGAUCGGAAGUAUAGAGAAUUUGAUAUUUUCGAUUUUUUAAUUUCUAGAUCAAGAAUUGUAUAGUUGGAAUAAUUGUGGUCCCCUAGAAUUGAGUACUUCUAGGGUUAAGUGAUUUUCACAGAGUAAUAGUAUUAAUUCAAAAGUUAAAAAUAAUUAAAAAAAAGUUGAUCUAAGGCCAAAAAAAGAAAAAAAAAAGAAAAAAGAGAAAAAAAGAGAGACCUUUUCGUAAUAAGAGGAUAGUAUAUAGGGACUAUUGUUAGAUUUGGUCCGAAGCGUGAAGGAGUGGACCGAGUGGCCCAUCAUCGUCGAUGCGAUCGAGGAGGAGUCGGGAAACGCGAGGGCACUCCGUCGUGUUCGUAAUCGUACCCUCGCUUCGUUCUCUCCGCCCCUUCAAAACCUAACGCUCACCCAACUCCCCCUCUAUAAGUAAUAUUCAAUUCCCCUCUCUCCCUCUCUCCUCCCCCCUUCCAAAUCCAAAUCCAUCCCUUUGCUCUCUCUCGAUCUCCAUCUCCGUCUCCACCUCGAUCGGCUUCGGCAAUGGCGGCGUCUCUCCAAAUGGCAGCGCUUCUUUCGGCUCCGUCCACUCCCAUCAACCCCGACAAGCUCCGUUUUGGAUCGAUCCCCGUAGGUAUUGUCCCGAUGCUCGUUGCUCUCGGGAUCUUCGUAGAAUUUGGAUCGUAGUGGGUAGAAAUCGAGUGGCAUCCCCUUUUUUUUGGGAGAUCCGAUCCCCUAGCUCUCACCAUCCUAUAAAUUUCAAUCUUUUCCUUAUUCUAGUUUUUGGUUCUCUUUACAGGAAGGAAAGUGAGCAAUUUGAUCGUUAGAUCGGAUGGGAGGAUGAUGACCGGUGGGUUUUCCCCUUCAGCUCGCGGCGGAAUCUUGAUUCCGAGUGCGGUCGCAGUUAAGUAUCCGAUCCCGAUUUGUAUUGGAUUAGUGAGCUUGAAAAAACCGGAUUAGUCCUGUGAAACCUACUGGUUUAAGAAUUUAGCGCUUAGAAAGCAAAUUGCUGGCCUUGUAUUUUGAAGGGGAGAUGUAUACGAAAUUAUAUUUACUUGAUGAAUUUAAGGGAUUGUUUUGUAUGUUUUUAUUCAUGUAUAAAUAGCGAUUCGUGUACUAAAUUUAGGAUUUUGAUGUGUUCAUGUAGGCAAAGUCUGAUGCUCCUGCAAGUUCUACAUCCUCAAAACCUGGGUAAGCUUCUUGCUAUGAAUAAUGGAUUCUUCAAACUUCUUAUGAUGAACGAGCCUUCUUCUUGCUUCUCUAGAUCAAGUCACUUUGAAGUACUAAUUUCAUGACUUGCAGACCAGGAAUUGGACACUUAAGUGUUUAGUAAUUAAGUGGUUAGAGCAGCAAACAUCUUCGUAUCGAUCAAAAUAUCAUCUUCGUAUAGAUCAAAUUAUCAAUUUGACUCAUAGGUGUCUGUGUGAGGAAAGCGAAGCAAGUGCCUUCCAGCUUGCAUUUAUAGCACUGAGAAUAGUUAGUUGAUUCCCAAAAUUUAAACAGUAGGUAACAUGCCUUUCCACUUUCAUUCAGUUCAUCCGAUAAUUGAGGCGCUUAAACCAUCUUUGCCUUUUUAGGCAUUUUAUUUCUAGAUAUUGUUAACACUUAACAUCAGAAAGAAUAUUAAUUACAUGUAGACGAUUUAGUCAUAUAAUAAAGUUACAUCAACCAGGAUAUAUUAAGAGGUUUAGUCACUGGUAAAACCGCUGUUUUUGAAGAAGAGAAUAAGUGCUAUAUAUUUCAUAGACUAUCACCUAUGUUUGAAAAGGACCUUUUUGUGUUCAAGUUCAUUCACCUUGGCCUAUGCUUCUUAGUUUCAUAAGCAAGGAUGCAACAAUUUCUUUUCUUUUUAUGGUGGGACUUGGCCUUUCCUAAGUUGAGUAUGUUCUUUUACAUGUUAACAUCCAGUGGUAGCUUAUGUCUAUUUAGGACUUUCCAGUAGAUUGCGCCUGGCUGAGUUGCUGUGCUUUCAAAUUUGAUGAAUUUAUGCGAAGAUUUGUGCUGAUGUUUGUUCACCUUUCGUCAUUUUGCUGUUAUUGUGAUACUUUUGUGAUUUAUGAUUAUGAUUUGUGACAGAGGUUAUAGGCAAUCUGCAAUAGAUGUUGAUUGCUAGAAAAAUGCAGAAUCAAAUUAAGUAAUAUGAGACUUAAAAUGCAAAAUCUUUGCCCAAAAAAUUAAUUAGUUGCGCCCCCUAUGGCUUUUUGCAUGAUGAUUUAGAAUUAGGUUUUUAGUGCCUAUGACUAUCAAUUACUCUCAAACAUUGAGGAAUCAGGGUUAUUCUUUUCCGCAUGUUAAUUUGUCAAUUAUCUCCCCUGCGUUCACUUGGUCAAAUUCCUCUUGCCAUUCUGCUAAUGUGGAAUACAACAAUAUACAGCAUAUUAUGUUUUGAACCUUGAUAUGCGUACCAGGAAGCUUUCUUGCAUUAGAGCUGUGUGAUGAGUUGUUUACUACUAUAAAAUCAGACCUUCCUCAACUGAGAAAAUAAAAGCACUAUCAUAGGCAGAACGAAGAUACAUGCAGGCGUGCUAGACCUAUUGCAUGUGCAAAGCAGAAUGUGCUUGCUUACAGUACACUUCUGCUAGAAGUUAAUCUAAGUAGGCACUUCUUUCCACAACUCAUCAUUUUAUGGGAGAUUCUUGCCUUCUUUCUUUCUUUCUUUCUUUCCAUUUGCUCUUGUGGUGGCAAAUUUUACCUGCUGCUUUUGGUGGUAAUUCUUAAUCAAGGGGUUUACUAUUCUUUCUUGCCGAUAUAAUAUCUUCUAUUGCAUCUGUCAUAAUUUAAAUCUUUCAACUCCGUUCUCAUCUUUCAACAUCUAGUCAUGAGCUGUUAUUAUUCGAGGCUCUUCGUGAGGGUCUGGAAGAGGAGAUGGACCGGGAUCCGCGUGUCUGCGUCAUGGGCGAGGAUGUCGGCCAUUAUGGUGGGUCCUACAAGGUCACUAAAGGCUUGGCCACAAAGUAUGGUGAUCUUCGUGUCCUUGACACUCCCAUUGCUGAGAACUCCUUUACUGGCAUGGGGAUUGGUGCUGCCAUGACCGGACUAAGGCCCAUCGUCGAGGGCAUGAACAUGGGCUUCCUUUUACUGGCUUUCAAUCAGAUAUCCAACAACUGCGGCAUGCUCCACUACACAUCCGGGGGCCAGUUCAAGAUACCAAUAGUAAUUCGUGGGCCGGGGGGUGUCGGCCGCCAGCUUGGGGCCGAGCACUCCCAGCGGCUUGAGUCAUACUUCCAGUCGAUCCCCGGCCUUCAAAUGGUCGCAUGCUCAACCCCUUACAAUGCGAAGGGGCUGAUGAAGGCCGCAAUACGGAGCGAAAACCCUGUAGUUCUUUUUGAGCAUGUUUUGUUAUACAAUCUCAAGGAGAGGAUUCCCGAUGAGGAAUAUAUCUGCUGUUUGGAGGAAGCCGAGAUGGUACGGCCCGGGGAACAUGUAACCAUCCUCACGUACUCACGCAUGCGGUACCAUGUGAUGCAGGCGGCGAAGACACUGGUGAAUAAGGGGUACGAUCCCGAGGUGAUUGAUAUUAGGUCAUUGAAGCCCUUUGAUUUAUACACUAUUGGGAAUUCUAUCAAGAAGACGCACCGCGUGCUGAUAGUGGAAGAGUGCAUGCGGACAGGCGGUAUUGGUGCGAGUCUGAGGGCAGCAAUUAUUGACAACUUCUGGGACUAUUUGGACGCUCCGAUCAUGUGCUUGUCGUCCCAGGAUGUGCCGACACCGUACGCCGGGACGUUGGAGGAGUGGACGGUGGUGCAGCCGCCGCAGAUUGUGGCCGCAGUUGAGCAGCUUUGCCAGUAGAAAAAGAAAACAAGAAGAUAUUUCCGUAGCUCUGGCUUAUUUUGUGUUGUUAAAUCUUUGGGACAAGUCUUUCCUAAUUGAAGGUUUUAUUCAUACGUAAGUAUGGUGCGGCAAAGCAGGAUAUUCAUUCUUGUUAGUAUUGUACUCGUGUACGGUUCUUUUAUUUUUGUAAUGUUUGUUGUGCUCCAAUAACCAUUUAAGUCCGUAGUGCUAAAUUUAAUUUUUUUGGUUGUAGUCGUUUCAAUUAUUAAUAUCUCAAAUUUUUUACUUCGAUGUGCGAUAUAAUAAUCUUGAAGAUUUGCGAGUUUUGUGGCAGGGGACUAAACUUGCAAGAUUAAUGGCUCUUGUACUUCAUAUGGUUUACCCACACACAUACCAAAUAUAAAUAUAAAGGAAUUAAUGAUCCAACUUAUAAUUUCUGUGUAUGAUUAAACGGGGAGAAUAAAAGGGAAUUUUCUCAUUCACCAAAAUAUAUUUACAGUUGCUAGCAACUUUCCAGGUUUAUUCCAUUUUAUUAUUAUAGCUCUAGAUAAGAAAUCAUUAACGCUAGUUCCAAUUAAGUUUUUUAGUUGUGAAGUCCUCUUCUUAGCCCGUAAACUUUUGACAGCAACAAAGGUUUGGCCAGAUUCCACUCUCAUCAUUCAAUAACCCGAACAUGUGACUCAAGUUAGGAUCUAUAUUAAAAUACUAUUAAAAAUUGAGCACAAAACAAUCACGCUGUACUGCAUAAAGAAAACUUUACCGCAUAAAGAAAACUCGCUACAUUUGCUUCUAUAUAGUUCAUUCGACUUGUCGAAGACAACUGUUAAAAUUUUACAUUAGUUCAAGCUUAACACAACAUCGAAAAUAUCAGCCUCGUAGUCAGAACAGAAUAAGAGCAAAACCUACAAUGCUGGUAAUUAGAACUACCAUCAACCAAACUUACUACAUAUAUCUUGCUUAACACUUUCCGAAAGCCUACUGAUACGGCGCGGCAAGAACCGAGAGAUCACGCAUACAGAACCUGCGUACUGGAUGGAGUCAGAUCCGCAAAGUCCUUCGGCACGUCAACUUCUUGCCACCGAAUCGAAAAGCUCUUCUUCUUCUUAGAGCUGCAAUCCGACGUCUCUACAUGCCCGACCACGACGUGCAGUCCCCGCCCGACUACAAAGAUCCGAGACCCAACACAGCUCACCGAGAAUGGCUUUCGGAUCCUCUCGGACAUCGGCGACCCCGCGACGGUCUCCCAUGAAUCGGAUUCGAAAUCAUACACCUUCACACGCAUCCGCUCAUACUCGGAUAUCACAAACAAAUGCCCAUCGACCACGGCACUCGACCCCGUCCACCCUUCACGCAUUCCUAUCGGCAUACCCUCCCAACAGUUAGUUUUUGGAUCGUAGACUUGCCCUCUCGGUGAAGACAAGAAGGGCCAGACGCAGCCUUCGGUUACAUAUAAUCGUCCAUUAAGUACAGCCGAGUCAGAUGAGGCCAUGAUGGUGCCCAUGUUUGCGAUCGGUUGCCAAUUACCCUUAACUGGGUCGAGAACCUCUGCCGAGUCGAGCUCAAACUGGUCGGUGCUGUACCCACCGGCGACAUACACUCGGCCGUCAAUGACACCGCGGGCAAAGAAGGACCGGGCGGCUAGCAUCCGGCUCAUGACGGUCCACCGGUUUUUAUAGAUCUCAUACUUCAGGACCAAAUGUAGAGGGCAGUCCAUGUCCGAGACGAGCCCGCCGCAAACCAGCAAGGUGCCGUCCGGAGGAACUGCGAUACAUCCAAAGCCGCGAGGGCACGCACGUUCGCGGCACGGCAUGGCCGGAAUAGUGUGCCAGGAGAAGUGAAUAAGAUCGAGCACCUGCCAUUGGAUUUUCCCGGUGCAUCUAUGGAAGGCUAAAGUGAAGAGCCACGGGUCGCGGAAGCCGAGGGCUUUACGCUGAGCGAAGAACCGUUCUUUGUUGGCCAAGAGGCGAUGCCACCGUCGGCAAACAAGGCGGCAGGCCUUGUGCGUGUCGACGGGGAGGCGGAGUAGACAAUUCAGUGCGACAUCAUCAGGGAGGCCCGGGAUGAGGGGGGUCAAAUCGAGAGACGAGUCCGGUUCGUAAGAAGAAGAUGCAGAUGAGGGAUAGGAAGGGGUGGCCGUGGCGAAUCGGAAUUUGGGAGUGAGCUUCAUUUGAGAAUCCCCAAGCUUGAGGACCGGGGACUGGUGGGACGAGACUCGAACACGUCGCAUGUUUUUGGAUCUAACAAAUCCGGAGAACAAAUAGAAGGACCCAAAUCCAACAAAAAUGCAAUCCUUUGUUAUCUACUCCUUUUGAGGACUGUUUCUAAGGGAAGGGGAAAAAUCUCACCUUUGAACAAAAAGUCCAAAUCUUUGUCAGAAACUAAUCCAAAAGUGUGGAUUUGGGAAACCCUUUUCCUGAUCCCAAAUCUCAAUCCUUUGUGACCUACUCUUUGUGAGGAUUUUGCUGUCAAGGGUGAACUAAAAGUUCAUAUCUUUGUGAGAAGCUAAUCCUAAGGUGUCGAUGUAAAAAGCACUUCUCCUCAUCCCAAACACACACAACUCCUUGUUAUCCUACUCUUUUUGAGAAUAGUUGUUAAGAGAUGAAGAAGAAAAGUCUCAGCUUUGAGCCAAAAGGCGAAAUCUUCGUGAGAAACUAAUCCAAAGGUCUGAUUUUGGAAAGCCCUAAAUUCAUCUCCCUAUGUUACUUUUCCAGAGGAGGAGCUCAAAACCCAGCAAAUUUUCCUUUUUUUCCCCCCCACCUCCUCUAUAAGCAAUAAGCAGAGAUCAUUACAGAACAUCUAACAGAAACAAAUAAGCUUGUAUUAACUUGCCAAAGCUCAAAAACAAGAUUAGAUUGGAAAGAACCCGCAAGUGCUUUUGAAUUCAAAAAGCUAAGAGAGGAAAGAAAUAAAGCUGCAACCAUGAAUCUUACAAGAUUAGGGGAGCUCUGUGGAGGAUUACAGAGGAAUUGAUUCUCUCCUCUCCUUUUCCUUCUUUUUUUUUUUUUUUUUUUUUUUAGCUCUUUGAUUUAGAAUUAAGGAGGUGGUAGGAUUUGAUUCAGCUUCAAAACCAGCAAAAGAAGUGGUGAAAGGGGGAAAGGAAAAGGAAAUUUUCCUCGCUUUUGGUCCCACAUUAGGAGCAAGUCCCUUUCUUUUUUGCUUUGAAUAAUAGGAGCAAAAUUAAAAUGUCUAGAUGGUACCUUAUCUGUUCUAAUAUUGAUAAUUAGCCCCUGAUGUUUCGAUUUUUACAAUUCAGUCCUUGUAAAUGGUAUUAACUAUUAAUGGGUAGAAUAAAUUAGAUUUUGUGAAAAGAUAAAAGAUCUAGCAUAUUUAUUAGUGUUUAUUUUUUAGAAGCCGGUAGUCAGCUAUCCGCUUUAUUUAUUAAAAAAAUAAAUUUAAUAGAGUUAAUAGAGAAGACCAGGAUUCAAAAUAGGAGGGAAAGAGAAAGAAAGAAUACAAAAAAAAAAAAAAAAAAAAAAAAAAAAAAAAGCAAAAGGGUCGAGACAUCACACUUAAUUUAUUAGACAACAUGCUGAGCUCAUUUUGCUAUAAUAUAUCUAUUUAUACAUACUAAGAUUGACUACAUUACUAAUAUUACCCUUCAAUCUUUCAACUUUUACAUAUAUUAUAUUUUAGUUCUGACCAUCAACAAAAUCUUGAAUAUUAUUAUAGAAUAAUAUUUUUAAUCUUUAUUUGCAAAGUAAUAUUAUAAUUUAUCUAAAAUAAAUUAAAAAUCAGUGAGUCAUUAUACAGUGUCAACCGUCAAGAGAAAUAACAUGAUUAUUUUAUUUUUUUUACCGUAAAGUUUAAGUUUAAUUUUUCUCCAACUUUAAUUUGAGAAUUGGGGUAAAAUCAAAACCAGAACGACUGAUUAGUAACAAGGGCUUAUCCAUAAAUCUUACCCCUUAAUUAAAUAAUAAUAAUAAUAAUAAUAUUACUAUUAUUAUUAAUAUUAAUAAUAACAAUAAUAGUAAUUGGAAAUAAGGAAAUGGGAAAGAACACUAGUAGGGCUAUGUAAAUGUUUCCAGUGGGACCCACAGUUGUUGUUUUUCCUCUGAUUUUUCGUUGACUAAUUAAAGAGUUUUUAAGAAUAAUUUUUAUUAUUUAAUAAAAUACGCAUAUGUCGAGUGUGGAAUUUUAAUUUUUUAAUUUUUAUUAUUUUUUUCAAUUAUUUUGGGGUGGUUGAUGAGUGGUUGGCCCGUCGAUAAAGGUGUUGUUGUGUGUAACCGUUACAUGCCACGGUUGUGACACUGAAUAGUUGGGCCCACGGUGCAAUUCUACGUAACAAGUUUAUAAAAAUUUUCACACGCGGAAUUAAUUUCGUCGCUCAUUAAUAUAGCAUGAUGAAUUUCCGCCACUAAAUUAACAAAUAAUUAUAUUAAUUUUCACAACUGUAACUAUUUUUUACACUGAAUUAAGUAUUAGUUUUGUUAAUAACAAAUGAUUGAUAGCUUGAAAAAGCAAUUAAUUCGAACAACAUCUCCAAUUCUGAAGAUAAUUUAAGUCAAAAUAAAUAAAAGCUUAGAGGUUUUACAUUAAAAAAAAAAGAAUUAAAGUUCAGGAGCCUAUUUCAAAAUUUUCUCUAGUUAAAGGGGAUCUCCAUAAAUUAUUCACUUAAGUAUCACCAAUUGGGCUAAGGUGGAGCUCUAGCUCAAGUGGUCAAGCCUUUUAUAAGCACUAAAAUUGAACUAAAUUUCUAGGCCUUUGUAUCAAAUGUUUGAGCCCAUUUUCAAAAUAAACCUGGUAUUAAUUGGAUCUAAUUAAUGGACCUUCAUAUAUACCAGCAUUUAACUAGGGUUUGUUUCAUUAGCAAAUAAAUUAAUAUUGUAGGUGUCAUGUUAUAUAUAUAUAGAAUUGAGCUCAUGUGCUUUUAAAAGUACUAAGUUAUUAGUACUUAUAGAUUUUUGGUCAUUGGAUUAAGACGUAAAUUUAACGGUAAAAAAUUUACAAGCACCAGGCCACCAAGUGCUUGGUGCUUUUAUAAGCACCAUAGCCGGACUCUCUUUAUAUAUAUAUAUAUAUAUAUAUAUAUAGUUCAGCUAUGGUGCUUGUAAAAGUAUCAAGCACUUCGUGCUUGUAAGUUUUUUACCGUUAGAUUUAUUCCACGGAUCAUUUUCAACCAUUACAUUAUACUAUUCAACCAACCACCUACUCAACCCUAGAGAGUCCACAUCAUCCUAACCGCAUAUCUCUUAAUCCAAUGACUAAAAAUUUACAAGCGCCAAUGUCUUGAUACUUUUAAAAGCAUAGGAGCUCAAUUAUUUAUAUAGUUGUUGAUUUAGUUGUAGAUUUAUAGCACNGGGGGGGGGGAAAUAAAUUUAGAACGGAUAUGAGAUCCCAUUCUGAGCUCAACUGCUACAUGCCAGGAAAGGAAAGGGAAAUUAUUUGGCUUACGAAAAUUAGGAUUUUAUUAAAUUUGUAGUUGGUUUUCUAGUUGAAUAAAAAUUAAUAUUUAAAUUUAUUGAAAAUAAAUUAAGAUUUAAAUAUUAAUUAAAGUAUAAAUCUAAUUAAAUUAGAAUAUAUAUUUAAAUUUAUUAGAGAUAAACUAAAUAUAGAUUUAAAUAUUAUUUGGAGUAGAAAUUUUAAUUAUCUUAGAAUUUCGGUACAUCUUGAGUCAAGCCUUAUAUAUAGUUCCAUAUACGCAAAUUGUUCAAUGAACUUACAUGAUGUACGGAUGAGAAAGAGUCUUUUAUGGUGCUAAUCGUACGGUGGAGAAGCCUAGGCCCAGCUGUGUGCAUGUGAGAGAAAAAAGAGUUGUCUUUUAGCUUUAUAGAAGAGAAAAAGAGAGUUGUCUUUUAGCUUUAUAAAAGUUUAUAGAAGAGGAGUCAGGUGCAAUAAUCUCUUAUUUAGUGAAUCUUAUUUUAUUCGCAUAUUUUUAAUUUUUAAUUUUUAUUUUUUUUGUAAUUGUAUGAGUUUUUGCUGAGAAGAUAAAUUAUGGUAAAAAUUUGAUUCGACGCUUUUGUUGCACAAUCUCAAUAUUCAGUAUCGAAUUAGCAACAGUCGGCAUCGAAGCUGGUGAUGAAUUCAUAAAAUUCGAUUACAAAACGAGUACCAAAUUGCCAACAAAACAGAAAUUAUAAACUCAUUGUGAUAUAUUUGCCAUGAAGAUAAUCAUGACAAAAGUGGUAGUGGUUAGCGAGCAUCUGGACAUAGAUGGGCUGAAGUGGCAGUGAUUGUGACAACUAAAGCAAUCAUCCCAAUGGAAAUUGAGUUUUUUCAUUUUGUUUUUGAAUUAAAUUGAUCCCUAUCUUUAGGGAGCUGUCCAGUUCAAAAUUUUAUAAUACUUCAGAAAUAUUAUAUGCUUAGAGUUAUUAUACUAUCGGAAGCAUAAACUAGUUAGUGCUUCCGAUUUUCUAGCCCUUGAUCAAACAUUCUACGGUUGAGAUGAUAGCGGUACUCUUAAGGUUGAGUGGUGUUUUUAGAAUUGAGUGGUCCCCAUUGGUUAAUAAUAUUAAUCCAAUGGUUAGAAAUGAUCAAUGGGGUUGAUCUAAGGGUUAAAAAAUCGAAAGCAUCAACUACUUUAUGCUUUCGAUAGCAUAGUAACUCUACUCAUAUUAUAUAUUUUAUAUUUAAAAUAAUAAGUUUGUUACUAACUUAUUAGAUAGACCACUUAGUUUAGAAAAUUGUUAAAAAUUAAGUUUUAUAUUCUUAUUAAUGAAUUACUGAUGAUUUUCAUUAAAUAUGAAAAUAAAAAUACCUUAUAACUCAUGAUAAUCUAAUAUUAAAUCCUACCACCUGAAAAUCUGUAAUAAUCUUAUUACUUCACUAACACCUUUUACAAACCAUCCGGCCAGCUUGAGUCGAGUAACAACGAGUUGAAUAUUUUCAACAAAACGUAUGGGGAUUUAUCGAAAUGUUACAAAUUAACCAUGAAUCAAACGGGCCCUUGAGAUAAUAAUAGUAACAAUCGAUAGCAUCGAUGAUUCUUGAAAACAAAGGCAGAAUUAUAUAUAACUGCGUAGACAAUCAAUAAUAAAAUCAGAAUUUAAACUAUUUUAUUGCAUGAAUAAUCAAAUAUGCUUUCACAGUAUUAACUCUAUUUAACAGGUGUGUCCCCAACCUAAAAAGAAGGUUAUUGAUGGAUGUCACAGGGGAAUCAAUAAUAUCCUAUAUAUCCAACCACUAACUAAAGCCAAAUCUACUCAAGCUCAAUUAUAUAGAUCCCUCGAGUAAAAAACUGCAACUAAUCAAAACCUCACUCAUUUUAGGCCAAAAAGGCGCAUAAUCAUGAGCUCAAAGUAUAUAUAUAUAUAUCCUGCUCUUUGGUCUUGUGAAGGACAAUAACUUGAACGUAAAGAUCUCCAAAAGAGCUGCAUAAUUAAAGAAAAUAUAUGAUGGUGUCGAAAAAGCUUAAAGAAGGUGAAGUACUUUACACACCAAAAAAAGUUUUUUUUUUUUUUUUUAAUCCUUUUCCCACUGCUUUGUUUUAUUCCACUUAAUUUUAGGUGAAUGGUAAAGCUGUGUAUAUGUUGGUUAGU